GAUGAACGCUAGCGGCAGGCUUAAUACAUGCAAGUUGAGGGGCAGCAUGAUAUACGCGAGUAUAUUGAUGGCGACCGGCGGACGGGUGAGUAAUAGGUAGGAGACCUACCUCAUACAGGGGGAUAGCAUAGAGAAAUCUGUGGUAAUACCCCAUGAGGUUAUAUGAAUAGAGGCAUAUAAUCAAAGCAUAAGCGAUUAUGCGGUAUGAGAGGGGCCUACUGACCAUUAGCUAGUUGGUGAGGUAAGGGCUCACCAAGGCGAAGAUGGUUAGGGGUUUUGAGAGAGAGACCCCCCACAUUGGAACUGAGAGACGGUCCAGACUCCUACGGGAGGCAGCAGUAGGGAAUAUUGGGCGAAUGGGCGGAAAGACCUGACCCAGCCAUGCCGCGUGAAGGAAGACGGCCUUAUGGGUUGUAAACUUACUUUCUACGCGAAUAGAGGUUAGUACGAGAUACUAAUAGGAAGGUAGUGUAGUAAAAGACACCGGCUAACUCCGUG
Molecule: ribosomal RNA, 498 nt
Filed under: uncultured bacterium
Lineage: Bacteria
Description: bacterial SSU rRNA
Rfam family: Bacterial small subunit ribosomal RNA
Source: RNAcentral